This is a long non-coding RNA of Cydia pomonella (codling moth), 948 nucleotides long. RefSeq lists it as uncharacterized. The transcript is spliced from 2 exons. Lineage: Eukaryota; Metazoa; Arthropoda; Insecta; Lepidoptera; Tortricidae. The record is from RefSeq and is a predicted model, not a curated record.
GUGCAGGAUUUCAGAGUAAAAAAUCGAAGGUACUAACAGCUGAACAAAUUGAGACGUUUAUUAAUGAAGCUCCAGAUCAGCAACAUCUAGCUACAAAGGUUGCUCUUAUAUUUGGAGUCUGUGGCGCAUGCAGACGCGAAGAGCUCACAAAUGUAUCAGUAAAAGAUAUAGAAACACAUGGGGAUAUACUUCUUGUCAUAAUACCAAAUACAAAAAAUAAAAUUCCCAGGUCCUUCACUAUUGACGGCCCAUUUGCAGAAAUAGUCAAGAAAUAUCAGAGUCUGCGGUCUUCUAAGGGCAAAAGUGACCGUUUCUUUCAGAAUUUUCAAAGAGGAAGGUGCACUGCCCAGGUAAUAGGCUUAAACAAGUUUGGGAAUAUGCCGAGAGAUAUCGCUCAGUACUUAAAUUUGCCUGAUGCAAAUCUUUACACUGGACAUGCAUUUAGGAGAACCUCUGCUACAUUACUUGGCGACUCAGGAGCUGACAUAACAACUUUGAAGAGGCAUGGAGGUUGGCGGUCAAGUAAUGUAGCAGAAGGAUACAUAGAAAACUCCGUUGAUAACAAAUUAAAAAUUGGAAAACAAAUUGCAAAAUCAAUUAAUGUAAAGCCGCAAGAGCCCACAGAAUUUUCUUCAUCCACAUUCCAAUCUGGUCUUAAUGUAUCUGUUAAUACUGAACCUCAACCAGGACCGUCACAUGCUAACAACACUUUGGUUACACCCAGCCCUGUUAACCAACCAGGACCGUCACGUGCCAACAACACUUGGAUUACACAUAGCCCCUCUAACUUUGACCCACAUGAAUUAUCACAACAGCAGGAACCUGAAAAUACACCAUGCCUGACUAGUCAGACACUUAAUUUACAUGGAAGAACUCACAACAUAACUAUGAACUGCACUAAUUGUACCAUUAACUAUAAUUAUUACUGAAAAUAAAAUAUUUCUGAUA